This 1046-nucleotide long non-coding RNA is filed under the name Coturnix japonica (Japanese quail). Its description in RNAcentral is "lncRNA (ENSCJPG00005016147.1)". Lineage: Eukaryota; Metazoa; Chordata; Aves; Galliformes; Phasianidae. The record is from RNAcentral.
GCAUUACUCUGGUGCUGCUGAGAACAAAGAUGUGAGCAUGCACUGUACACUCCCCAGCUCAUGAAUACCUUAGGUUGUUACUGUAAGUGGGAUAGGAGGAAAUUCGGUUAUAAAUGGAGACUUGUUUUCUUACCAUUGACCACAAUAAACAGAUUUUUAAUUCAGCACUGUAAGAAAGAGAAGAUGUCCAAGAAAAGCCUGUUUGUAUCUUGAGCGUGGUGGACAGUGGGUGAAAUUCAGCCUUGUGUUAAACACAUUGAAGUCAAUGGAGUUUCUUAUUCUCCAGGCUAUCAUUUCAGGCCAAUUGCCUUUUCCUUACCUCCCAGACCACUGCUUCAUGGUGGGUAUGAUGCUGGCUUGGUGACCAUCCUGGUGCUGCUCUGCCAGACACAACAGGAUCCACUGCAGCACAGAGGGAUGCUCCCGAGGCCCCCAGUAUAUCUUCCCCAUGGUAUCCCCACCCCACCAGGGCUCACCCAUUUCUGAGACUGGAAGGACCUGGGAGAUGCUGAAGGACACAGGGAGGUUCAUCUCAGCACUAAUGGAGGCAGUAAGGCAGUACAUCUGGUAUUUCACAGCUGGCAGCAGCUUGGGAGAGUGCGGAGCUGUGGACAGCUACACUACAUCGCAACUCACUGCUGGGAAUUAUUUUAAAGAGGCAGAAAUGCGGUGUUUCAAGCCCCAUAGCUUAUACAAAUAUCGCCAGAGAAAAUACAAGGAGAAAAAUUAAACACUGAUGUUGCAAGUACAGCUGUGCUUCUGCUUUGUUCUCUGGUUUAUGUUUACCCGAAGUGUGAUAAAAUGUUUGAAAAAUCUUGCCUUUGCAAAUGAGGUUUCCACAUGCUUUUCCCUAAGCCAUGCAAUAUGAAAUGAUCUUCACUGCUCAGGCAUGCAGUUUGGUGGGGCACUGCUGGGCUCAUCACUCAGCUAGCAAAUAGAAAUGGUCUUUAUCGCCAUAUUCAUUGGCCGUCCCUGGAUAACAUAAAUCAGGGCAAGGCAUGCUCCUCCAUAAUAAAUGCUAGUGCUGGUGCUCUGGAAGCUUCCCU